This 30-nucleotide non-coding RNA is filed under the name Homo sapiens (human). The record is from RNAcentral. Lineage: Eukaryota; Metazoa; Chordata; Mammalia; Primates; Hominidae.
UCUGCAGCUGCAUUCCUAAACCUUUAUCUA